Molecule: long non-coding RNA, 1510 nt
Filed under: Calidris pugnax (ruff)
Lineage: Eukaryota; Metazoa; Chordata; Aves; Charadriiformes; Scolopacidae
Description: lncRNA (ENSCPUG00000004164.1)
Source: RNAcentral
GGCUGGGUCAGGGACUGGUGUGGGGCUGGCAGCAGCUCCUGACUCUUGGCUUCUCUCUUUUCUGCCCAGGAGUUUCUCUCACGCCUGAAGGGCAACAUCGAUUACUGGAUUGGGCUGCGGAGACGGGGUGAGCACCUGGAGUGGGUGGACGGCAGCAGCUUCAACCAGACGUGAGUCCCGUUGGGAGCCGGGGCCGUGGGGAGACCGUCCUGUGGUGGGAUGGGCAGGGUCCUGGUGGGAGGUGUGUGCUGGGGCUUUCCCUUGCAGGCAGCCCUUGUCUUCUCCUGGGGCUCGUGGGGACAGCCCUGACCCCCACAGUACCAGUGUUGUCUGUGCUGCUUGUUGCAGGAUCCCAGUGGUGGGAGAAGAACCUUGUCUGUUCCUCAAUGAUCACGAUCUCCUGAGUGCCUGAGAGACGGCACUAUCUCUGCAGCAAACCUAUGCUCCAGUGAGAACCACUUGACAGAAGUGGUGGAGAAAGGCCCUUCUCCAUGGUGGGGACUCACAGCUUCCCCUCUUCCAGCAGCACAGAGUGGUGCAGGGAUGUCCUUCCCUCAGCUGCUGCUCUGGUUGCUCCUGGUCUCAGCAGAAACUCGCUGCCAGCUCUCAGGAGAUGAACCUGCAGGUCAGGAGCUGUGGUGGGAGCUGCCAUGUGCCUGCCUGGGCUGGGACCCCCACCAUGGAACUGGUUUCUCUUUCCUUCUCUCUGGGACCAUCCCAGAACUCUUCUUGUUUGUGCCAGAGGUCACAUUGUCCCAGUAUGAGGUAGAAAAGAACCAACUUUCUCUUCAGUCGUUUUAUGUCUUAGCUACUCCUCUUCUGCUUAUUUACCUGCAUAUUUUGUAAGAAAAUCCUGUUAAUACUUAGAGCGAUUAGACUGAUGUUGAUAGUUCCUGCCAAGGAAUGGGGUGCAGAGAGAGUCUUCCUCAUAUUUACUGCUCUAACAACCAAGGUAACUGUUCUUUGCCCCACUGGAGGGUUGGAAGUAGAAGAGCGUUGAGGGGUCACUGCUGUGGCGAGGAGCAGACAGGAUGGUGGCCUCAAAACUGACCAAAGGGGUGUUCCAUCCCAUCUGCCCCAUGCUGAGUGUAAAAGCUGAGGGAUCAAAGGGUCAGCUCUUUCUUCCAUGGCUGAUAUCUGCAGAGGACCCUGUCUGUUUGUCUGCUCUUGAUCCCCAUCCCUGUGUUCCUGACUCCAGACUGGGUAUCUAGUUCCUGUCCAUGGCUGAGUCCAGUCUGGGACUUCCCGAGUGCUGCCAGUGCCUUCAUCCUGGAACCUUGAUACAACUUUGUAUAUAUUGCAUCUAUUUUGUUAUUUCUAUUUUAAUUUAUUAAAGCAUUUUCGUUUGUUCUCAACUUGUAAAUCUCUUUCUCUCUCCUCCUCUUCUCCUUGGAGUGAGAGGUGGGGGAGAGCACCUGUCGUCAUAUCAUUGGCCAAUUCGGCUGAAAUCACAACCCAGAAGGCUUCUUUUAAGCUGUGGCUUUGGUGCUGGAGCAGCUGCUUCCCCCCA